GCGGGUUUGGUGGAAUUGGCAGACGCACCAGACUUUGGAUCAGGCGCUUUACGGCGUUGGCGUUCAAGUCCCUUAACCCGCA
RNAcentral lists this transfer RNA (82 nucleotides) under Streptococcus pneumoniae. RNAcentral describes it as "tRNA-Gln". It matches the Rfam family "tRNA". From Rfam's summary of the family: Transfer RNA (tRNA) molecules are approximately 80 nucleotides in length. Their secondary structure includes four short double-helical elements and three loops (D, anti-codon, and T loops). The record is from RNAcentral. Lineage: Bacteria; Bacillati; Bacillota; Bacilli; Lactobacillales; Streptococcaceae.